GGGUUGUGAGGUUAAGCGACUAAGCGUACACGGUGGAUGCCCUGGCAGUCAGAGGCGAUGAAGGACGUGCUAAUCUGCGAUAAGCGUCGGUAAGGUGAUAUGAACCGUUAUAACCGGCGAUUUCCGAAUGGGGAAACCCAGUGUGAUUCGUCACACUAUCAUUAACUGAAUCCAUAGGUUAAUGAGGCGAACCGGGGGAACUGAAACAUCUAAGUACCCCGAGGAAAAGAAAUCAACCGAGAUUCCCCCAGUAGCGGC
Molecule: ribosomal RNA, 258 nt
Filed under: Escherichia coli
Lineage: Bacteria; Pseudomonadati; Pseudomonadota; Gammaproteobacteria; Enterobacterales; Enterobacteriaceae
Description: partial 23S ribosomal RNA
Rfam family: Bacterial large subunit ribosomal RNA
Source: RNAcentral